Molecule: ribosomal RNA, 1221 nt
Filed under: human gut metagenome
Description: bacterial LSU rRNA
Rfam family: Bacterial large subunit ribosomal RNA
Source: RNAcentral
GAGAGGGAAACAACCCAGACCAGCAGCUAAGGUGCCUAAAUAACGCUCAGUGGAAAGGAUGUGGGAUUACACAGACAGUGAGGAUGUUGGCUUAGAAGCAGCCACCAUUUAAAAAAUGCGUAAUAGCUUACUCAUCGAGUGAUCCUGCGCCGAAAAUGAUUGGCGAUCAAGCGUUAUACCGAAGCUCUGGACUUUGCCGCAAGGCAGAGUGGUAGAAGAGCGUUGCAUGCGCGUCGAAGGGCGAUGGCGACUGACCCUGGAGCACAUGCAAGUGAGUAUGCAGACAUGAGUAACGUUAAGCCGGGUGAAAUCCCCGGCCGCCGUAAACCCGAGGUUUCCAGGGCAACGUGUUUCGUCCCUGGGUUAGCCGGGACCUAAGCCGAGGCCGAGAGGCGUAGGCGAUGGACAUCAGGUUAAUAAUCCUGAGCUCGCAACCCUUAAACUGGGGGGACGCAUGAGAAAAGAUGACUAGGUUAUUGAAUUCCGAGUUGAGUCCACGGACUCAGCGCAUCAUUGGAUCGAGUGCCAAGAAAAGCCCCAGCGUAUGCUAAGCGACCCGUACCGCAAACCGACACAGGUGGGUGGGUAGAAUAUACCAAGGCGUAAGAGUGAAACCUGGUUAAGGAACUCGGCAAAUUAGCCCCGUAACUUCGGAAGAAGGGGUGCCUGCAGCGAUGCAGGCCGCAGAGAAAUGGCCCAACCGACUGUUUAUCAAAAACACAGCACUCUGCAAAGACGCAAGUCGAAGUAUAGGGUGUGACACGUGACCAAUGCCGAAAGAUUAAGGCAAGGGGUUAGCCGCAAGGCGAAGCUCUAAACCCAAGUCCCGGUGAAUGUCGGCCGUAACUAUAACGGUCCUAAGGUAGCGAAAUUCCUUGUCGGGUAAGUUCCGACCUGCACGAAUCGUGAAACGAGUUGGGCACUGUCUCAACCAGGCGCUCAGUGAAAUUGUAGUGGCGGUGAAGAUGCCGCCUACCCGCAGAAGGACGGAAAGACCCUAUAGACCUUAACUGUAAGCUGUCAUUGUUUCUUCGGUUUUAAUGCUCAGAGUAAGUGGGAGACGCAGAAGAUGCCCUUUAGGGGGCGUCCGAGUCAUCAAUGAGACACCACCCUUUGAAACUGGAGGAUCUAACCCUGAGCCGUGAAUCCGGCCAGAGGACCGUGUCAGCCGGUCAGUUUUACUGGGGCGGUAUCCUCCCAAAGAGUAACGGAGGAGCGCGA